This 253-nucleotide ribosomal RNA is filed under the name uncultured bacterium. RNAcentral's name for it is "partial 16S ribosomal RNA". It matches the Rfam family "Bacterial small subunit ribosomal RNA", at positions 524 to 776 of the family's 1533-position model. The record is from RNAcentral.
UACAGAGGGUGCAAGCGUUAUCCGGAUUCACUGGGUUUAAAGGGUGCGUAGGUGGGCAGGUAAGUCAGUGGUGAAAUCUCCGGGCUUAACCCGGAAACUGCCAUUGAUACUAUCUGUCUUGAAUACCGUGGAGGUGAGCGGAAUAUGUCAUGUAGCGGUGAAAUGCUUAGAUAUGACAUAGAACACCAAUUGCGAAGGCAGCUCACUACACGAAUAUUGACACUGAGGCACGAAAGCGUGGGGAUCAAACAGG